GACGAACGCUGGCGGCGCGCUUAACACAUGCAAGUCGAACGGAAAGGACCUGCUUUUGUGGGGUGCUCGAGUGGCGAACGGGUGAGUAACACGUGAGUAACCUGCCCCUGACUUUGGGAUAACUUCAGGAAACUGGGGCUAAUACCGGAUAGGAGCUCCUGCUGCCAGGUGGGGGUUGGAAAGUUUCGGCGGUUGGGGAUGGACUCGCGGCUUAUCAGCUUGUUGGUGGGGUAGUGGCUUACCAAGGCCUUGACGGGUAGCCGGCCUGAGAGGGUGACCGGCCACGUUGGGACUGGAAUACGGCCCAGACUCCUACGGGAGGCAGCAGUGGGGAAUAUUGCACAGUGGGCGGAAGCCUGAUGCAGCAACGCCGCGUGCGGGAUGACGGCCUUCGUGUUGUAAUCCGCUUUCGCCUGUGACGAAGCGUGAGUGACGGUAAUGGGUAAAGAAGCACCGGCUAACUACGUG
RNAcentral lists this ribosomal RNA (468 nucleotides) under uncultured bacterium. Its description in RNAcentral is "partial 16S ribosomal RNA". It matches the Rfam family "Bacterial small subunit ribosomal RNA", at positions 28 to 507 of the family's 1533-position model. The record is from RNAcentral.